RNAcentral lists this ribosomal RNA (250 nucleotides) under uncultured bacterium. Its description in RNAcentral is "partial 16S ribosomal RNA". It matches the Rfam family "Bacterial small subunit ribosomal RNA", at positions 959 to 1206 of the family's 1533-position model. The record is from RNAcentral.
ACGCGAGGAACCUUACCAGCCCUUGACAUGCCUCGGAAGUGGACGAGAGAUCGAUCACGCUCUUCGGAGCCGGGGACACAGGUGCUGCAUGGCUGUCGUCAGCUCGUGUCGUGAGAUGUUGGGUUAAGUCCCCGCAACGAGCGCAACCCUCGCCCCUUAGUUGCCAUCAUUCAGUUGGGCACUCUAGGGGGACUGCCGGUGAUAAGCCGGAGGAAGGUGGGGAUGACGUCAAGUCCUCAUGGCCCUUACG